AGAGUUUGAUCCUGGCUCAGAUUGAACGCUGGCGGCAUGCCUUACACAUGCAAGUAGAACGGCAGCACGGGUGCUUGCACCUGGUGGCGAGUGGCGAACGGGUGAGUAAUAUAUCGGAACGUACCCUAGAGUGGGGGAUAACGUAGCGAAAGUUACGCUAAUACCGCAUACGAUCUACGGAUGAAAGUGGGGGAUCGCAAGACCUCAUGCUCAUGGAGCGGCCGAUAUCUGAUUAGCUAGUUGGUGGGGUAAAAGCCUACCAAGGCGACGAUCAGUAGCUGGUCUGAGAGGACGACCAGCCACACUGGAACUGAGACACGGUCCAGACUCCUACGGGAGGCAGCAGUGGGGAAUUUUGGACAAUGGGGGCAACCCUGAUCCAGCAAUGCCGCGUGAGUGAAGAAGGCCUUCGGGUUGUAAAGCUCUUUUGUCAGGGAAGAAACGGGAUUUUCUAAUACAAAGUCCUAAUGACGGUACCUGAAGAAUAAGCACCGGCUAACUACGUGCCAGCAGCCGCGGUAAUACGUAGGGUGCAAGCGUUAAUCGGAAUUACUGGGCGUAAAGCGUGCGCAGGCGGUUGUGCAAGACAGAUGUGAAAUCCCCGGGCUCAACCUGGGAAUUGCAUUUGUGACUGCACGGCUAGAGUGUGUCAGAGGGGGGUAGAAUUCCACGUGUAGCAGUGAAAUGCGUAGAGAUGUGGAGGAAUACCGAUGGCGAAGGCAGCCCCCUGGGAUAACACUGACGCUCAUGCACGAAAGCGUGGGGAGCAAACAGGACUAGAUACCCUGGUAGUCCACGCCCUAAACGAUGUCUACUAGUUGUCGGGUCUUAAUUGACUUGGUAACGCAGCUAACGCGUGAAGUAGACCGCCUGGGGAGUACGGUCGCAAGAUUAAAACUCAAAGGAAUUGACGGGGACCCGCACAAGCGGUGGAUGAUGUGGAUUAAUUCGAUGCAACGCGAAAAACCUUACCUACCCUUGACAUGUACGGAACUUACCAGAGAUGGUUUGGUGCUCGAAAGAGAACCGUAACACAGGUGCUGCAUGGCUGUCGUCAGCUCGUGUCGUGAGAUGUUGGGUUAAGUCCCGCAACGAGCGCAACCCUUGUCAUUAGUUGCUACGAAAGGGCACUCUAAUGAGACUGCCGGUGACAAACCGGAGGAAGGUGGGGAUGACGUCAAGUCCUCAUGGCCCUUAUGGGUAGGGCUUCACACGUCAUACAAUGGUACAUACAGAGGGCCGCCAACCCGCGAGGGGGAGCUAAUCCCAGAAAGUGUAUCGUAGUCCGGAUUGUAGUCUGCAACUCGACUACAUGAAGUUGGAAUCGCUAGUAAUCGCGGAUCAGCAUGUCGCGGUGAAUACGUUCCCGGGUCUUGUACACACCGCCCGUCACACCAUGGGAGCGGGUUUCACCAGAAGUAGGUAGCCUAACCGCAAGGAGGGCGCUUACCACGGUGGGAUUCGUGACUGGGGUGAAGUCGUAACAAGGUA
RNAcentral lists this ribosomal RNA (1491 nucleotides) under metagenome. RNAcentral's name for it is "bacterial SSU rRNA". It matches the Rfam family "Bacterial small subunit ribosomal RNA". The record is from RNAcentral.